UACGUAGGGAGCAAGCGUUGUCCGGAUUUACUGGGUGUAAAGGGUGCGUAGGCGGGAAGCCAAGUCAGCUGUGAAAACUACGGGCUUAACUUGUAGACUGCAGUUGAAACUGGUUUUCUUGAGUGAAGUAGAGGUUGGCGGAAUUCCGAGUGUAGCGGUGAAAUGCGUAGAUAUUCGGAGGAACACCGGUGGCGAAGGCGGCCAACUGGGCUUUAACUGACGCUGAGGCUCGAAAGUGUGGGGAGCAAACAGG
Molecule: ribosomal RNA, 253 nt
Filed under: uncultured bacterium
Lineage: Bacteria
Description: partial 16S ribosomal RNA
Rfam family: Bacterial small subunit ribosomal RNA
Source: RNAcentral